Molecule: ribosomal RNA, 761 nt
Filed under: uncultured Prevotella sp.
Lineage: Bacteria; Pseudomonadati; Bacteroidota; Bacteroidia; Bacteroidales; Prevotellaceae
Description: bacterial SSU rRNA
Rfam family: Bacterial small subunit ribosomal RNA
Source: RNAcentral
GAUGAACGCUAGCUACAGGCUUAACACAUGCAAGUCGAGGGGAAACGGCAUUGAGUGCUUGCACUCUUUGGACGUCGACCGGCGCACGGGUGAGUAUCGCGUAUCCAACCUGCCCUUUACUUGGGGAUACCCCGUUGAAAGACGGUCUAAUACCCGAUGUAAUUCAUUGAUGGCAUCAGAUAUGAAUAAAAGAUUUAUCGGUAAAGGAUGGGGAUGCGUCUGAUUAGCUUGUUGGUGAGGUAAAGGCUCACCAAGGCGACGAUCAGUAGGGGUUCUGAGAGGAAGGUCCCCCACAUUGGAACUGAGACACGGUCCAAACUCCUACGGGAGGCAGCAGUGAGGAAUAUUGGUCAAUGGGCGCAAGCCUGAACCAGCCAAGUAGCGUGCAGGAAGACGGCCCUAUGGGUUGUAAACUGCUUUUAUACGAGAAUAAUUUGAUGCACGUGUGCGUUAUUGCAUGUAUCGUAUGAAUAAGGACCGGCUAAUUCCGUGCCAGCAGCCGCGGUAAUACGGAAGGUCCAGGCGUUAUCCGGAUUUAUUGGGUUUAAAGGGAGUGUAGGCGGUUUGUUAAGCGUGUUGUGAAAUUUAGAUGCUCAACAUUUAACUUGCAGCGCGAACUGGCGAACUUGAGUGCACACAACGUAUGCGGAAUUCAUGGUGUAGCGGUGAAAUGCUUAGAUAUCAUGAAGAACUCCGAUUGCGAAGGCAGCAUACGGGAGUGUAACUGACGCUUAAGCUCGAAGGUGCGGGUAUCGAACAGG